RNAcentral lists this ribosomal RNA (768 nucleotides) under uncultured bacterium. Its description in RNAcentral is "bacterial SSU rRNA". It matches the Rfam family "Bacterial small subunit ribosomal RNA", at positions 121 to 904 of the family's 1533-position model. The record is from RNAcentral.
GUAACCUGCCUCAAAGAGGGGGAUAGCCUCCCGAAAGGGAGAUUAAUACCGCAUGACAAGUAUAAUCCGCAUGGAUUAUAUUUUAAAGGAGAAAUCCGCUUUGAGAUGGACCCGCGGCGCAUUAGCUAGUUGGCAGGGUAACGGCCUACCAAGGCGACGAUGCGUAGCCGACCUGAGAGGGUGAACGGCCACAUUGGAACUGAGAGACGGUCCAGACUCCUACGGGAGGCAGCAGUGGGGAAUAUUGCACAAUGGGCGAAAGCCUGAUGCAGCAACGCCGCGUGAGUGAAGAAGGUUUUCAGAUUGUAAAGCUCUGUCAUCUGGGACGAUAAUGACGGUACCAGAUGAGGAAGCCACGGCUAACUACGUGCCAGCAGCCGCGGUAAUACGUAGGUGGCAAGCGUUGUCCGGAAUUACUGGGCGUAAAGGGUGCGCAGGCGGACAUUUAAGUGAGAUGUGAAAUACCCGGGCUUAACCCGGGCAGUGCAUUUCUAACUGGGUGUCUGGAGUGCAGGAGAGGAGAACGGAAUUCCUAGUGUAGCGGUGAAAUGCGUAGAGAUUAGGAAGAACACCAGUGGCGAAGGCGGUUCUCUGGACUGUAACUGACGCUGAGGCACGAAAGCGUGGGUAGCAAACAGGAUUAGAUACCCUGGUAGUCCACGCCGUAAACGAUGAGUACUAGGUGUAGGAGGUAUCGACCCCUUCUGUGCCGCAGUAAACACAAUAAGUACUCCGCCUGGGAAGUACGAUCGCAAGAUUAAAACUCAA